This 403-nucleotide ribosomal RNA is filed under the name Solea solea (common sole). Its description in RNAcentral is "partial 16S ribosomal RNA". It matches the Rfam family "Bacterial large subunit ribosomal RNA", at positions 1963 to 2502 of the family's 2925-position model. The record is from RNAcentral. Lineage: Eukaryota; Metazoa; Chordata; Actinopteri; Pleuronectiformes; Soleidae.
AAUCACUUGUCUUUUAAAUGAAGACCCGUAUGAAUGGCAAAACGAGGGCUUAACUGUCUCCUCUAUCCAGUCAAUGAAAUUGAUCUCCCCGUGCAGAAGCGGGGAUACCACCAUAAGACGAGAAGACCCUAUGGAGCUUUAGACAACAAUUCAGCCCGUCCCAAAAUUCUUAAAUAAACGAACACACUUAACGGCCCCUGUAUUAAUGUCUUCGGUUGGGGCGACCGCGGGGAAAUACAAAACCCCCAUGUGGAAUAAGAGCACUUAACCCCUUCACUCCCUGCUCUUAGAAACUAGAGGGACACCUCUAAUUAACAGAACUUCUGACCUUAAAUGAUCCGGCCUGCCGAUCAGCGAACCAAGUUACCCUAGGGAUAACAGCGCAAUCCUCUUUUAGAGCCCA